CCUACGGGCGGCAGCAGUGAGGAAUAUUGGUCAAUGGCCGAGAGGCUGAACCAGCCAAGUCGCGUGAGGGAAGACGGCCCUACGGGUUGUAAACCUCUUUUGUCGGGGAGCAAAGCGAGUCACGUGUGACUCAUUGAGAGUACCCGAAGAAAAAGCAUCGGCUAACUCCGUGCCAGCAGCCGCGGUAAUACGGAGGAUGCGAGCGUUAUCCGGAUUUAUUGGGUUUAAAGGGAGCGUAGAUGGGUUGUUAAGUCAGUUGUGAAAGUUUGCGGCUCAACCGUAAAAUUGCAAUUGAUACUGGCAGUCUUGAGUACAGUUGAGGUAGGCGGAAUUCGUGGUGUAGCGGUGAAAUGCUUAGAUAUUGCGCAGAACUCCGAUUGCGAAGGCAGCAUACCGGCGGCGAUCUGACGCUGAGGCACGAAAGCGUGGGUAUCGAACAGGAUUAGAUACCCGAGUAGUC
Molecule: ribosomal RNA, 460 nt
Filed under: uncultured bacterium
Lineage: Bacteria
Description: partial 16S ribosomal RNA
Rfam family: Bacterial small subunit ribosomal RNA
Source: RNAcentral